GUUAUAGGGUCAAGCGAACAAGUGCAUGUGGUGGAUGCCUUGGCGAUCACAGGCGAUGAAGGACGCGGUAGCCUGCGAAAAGCUACGGGGAGCUGGCAAACGAGCUUUGAUCCGUAGAUGUCCGAAUGGGGAAACCC
RNAcentral lists this ribosomal RNA (137 nucleotides) under Mesorhizobium sp. RNAcentral's name for it is "partial 23S ribosomal RNA". It matches the Rfam family "Bacterial large subunit ribosomal RNA", at positions 1 to 129 of the family's 2925-position model. Lineage: Bacteria; Pseudomonadati; Pseudomonadota; Alphaproteobacteria; Hyphomicrobiales; Phyllobacteriaceae. The record is from RNAcentral.